This 583-nucleotide long non-coding RNA is filed under the name Heterocephalus glaber (naked mole-rat). RNAcentral's name for it is "lncRNA (ENSHGLG00100033979.1)". The record is from RNAcentral. Lineage: Eukaryota; Metazoa; Chordata; Mammalia; Rodentia; Bathyergidae.
GCUUUGCUGUGUAAUCCCUGGAGAGGAGUUUUGCCCUGAAUUCCUAAAGGGCGGCAGGAGUCUGAAGGUGAGAAAUCCUGUCUCACCCUGGGUUGGAGACAGGCAGCAGGGAGGCCCCCCGGGCCCAGCAGGUCAGGUGCCCGGAACAGUCAUCGACACUCCUCACAGAGGCUGUGGAUACCUGGACAGGAGCCAUCCCGCCCAGGUCCUGCAGCCUGACCCAGAUGCACCUGGCCAGCAUCUCAGCUCCAUACCCAGGCUGAGCCCCAACUCCUCUGUGAUGUCAGACUGGGCUCCAUCUCCCCUCUGACCCCAAGACAGGCCUCUGUCACACUGUGGCUCCCUCCAGGUGUGUGCCCGUGUUGGAGACUGUGGCCACUUCACACCCUUGGGACCCCCAAAGGCCAUCCUCUCAGGAGACCCUCAGGUCAUCACAGGAAGAAGGCGCAUGGAGCAGCAGAGCCAGGCUGAGCACCUGGACCCAGCAGUGACUGCAGUCCAAAACUGCACACCGGAUCUGGUUAGCGGGUCAUUAAGUGCCUUAUUUGUGCAAGCCAGCUGAUUCCCUUUCCAUCAACAGCCG